CGGACGGGUGAGUAACGCGUGGGUAACCUGCCUCAUACAGGGGGAUAACAGUUAGAAAUGGCUGCUAAUACCGCAUAAGACCACAGCACCGCAUGGUGCAGGGGUAAAAACUCCGGUGGUACAGGAUGGUCCCGCGUCUGAUUAGCCAGUUGGCAGGGUAACGGCCUACCAAAGCGACGAUCAGUAGCCGGCCUGAGAGGGUGAACGGCCACAUUGGGACUGAGACACGGCCCAA
Molecule: ribosomal RNA, 235 nt
Filed under: uncultured bacterium
Lineage: Bacteria
Description: partial 16S ribosomal RNA
Rfam family: Bacterial small subunit ribosomal RNA
Source: RNAcentral